UACGUAGGUGGCAAGCGUUAUCCGGAUUUACUGGGUGUAAAGGGAGCGUAGACGGCCAUUCAAGCCAGAUGUGAAAGCCCGGGGCUCAACCCCGGGACUGCAUUUGGAACUGUAUGGCUGGAGUGUCGGAGAGGCAGGCGGAAUUCCUAGUGUAGCGGUGAAAUGCGUAGAUAUUAGGAGGAACGCCAGUGGCGAAGGCGGCCUGCUGGACGAUGACUGACGUUGAGGCUCGAAAGCGUGGGGAGCAAACAGG
Molecule: ribosomal RNA, 253 nt
Filed under: uncultured bacterium
Lineage: Bacteria
Description: partial 16S ribosomal RNA
Rfam family: Bacterial small subunit ribosomal RNA
Source: RNAcentral